Molecule: ribosomal RNA, 205 nt
Filed under: Maullinia braseltonii
Lineage: Eukaryota; Endomyxa; Phytomyxea; Phagomyxida; Phagomyxidae
Description: partial 18S ribosomal RNA
Rfam family: Eukaryotic small subunit ribosomal RNA
Source: RNAcentral
CGCAGUCAUCACUUGCAUUGAUUACGUCCCUGCCCUUUGUACACACCGCCCGUCGCUCCUACUGAUUGAGUGUUGUGUUGAAGAAUGGGGAGUUAGGCUGUGCGUUAAUUCGUGCAUGCAUGAUGAACUAUUCUGAAUCUUGACAUUUAGAAGAAGGAGAAGUCGUAACAAGGUUUCCGUAGGUGAACCUGCGGAAGGAUCAUUA